UUCCAUUCUACAAAUCACGAAACCCUUUCGUAUGAGAAGAUCAAAAUCCCUACUCCAAAUCACAAACAACAAAUCCCUAAAUCCCUUUGGUGCAAAAUUAUCAAUUCCAAGAACCCUAAAUCCCUAAAUUUCUUAUCAUAAUUCUCGGUUGAUAAAUUCCAAACGACUCACAAACCCUUCGAAACUGACUAAUCCCUUCUCGAUUGGUUUCGUUCCCACUGAAUAUCCCUCCAAUUGAAAUUAUCCCUGAAUCUCCCUCUCACGAAGCAAAAAUAAAAGUAUGAAUCCCUAAUCCCUCUGCCAGUCACGAUGCUUCAAUCCCUAAUUCCUCUUACGGAGCUUCAAUCUCUCAGCCACCGAUUCUAUUUAUUGAAUCGGAGUUUAGUUCGAAGCUCAAUCGCAGUUUCAACAACGCCUCAGCUCGAAGUUUAAUAUCAAUUUCGACAGAUGCUGUUUAUAGUCCAUACUCCAACUCUGCCUUUCUUUGAUCAAGACAUUUGUUGUUGCUUAAGAGAGAGUGUCUUCAAGAAGGUAUGUUCCAUUUUUCAGUAUUCACAUACAUGCAUAGAUGCAAGUAGGCUAGACUAGCGCAUUUAUUUGGUUUAGAUCCUGUCUUCAUUUUGCAGGCACCUGUGGUGUAUUUUUUUAAUAUCUGAUUUUCAUGUACAAGACUGUUAACAAAAUUCUGGUGCAAAUAGGAUGUUUCUGCUGAUGCUGGUUGUUGUUAGGGGUGGUACAGUUACUCUAUGUUAUAAUUAUAUUCUCUGAAUUUUAAUUAGAUAGUUGAUCUGCUCAUUGUUUCUUUUCAAUUUUCUCUGAAUUUUAAUUAUAUAACUUUUAUUUUGCAGAUGAUGAAUAACGAUAUCGAUGAAGAAAUGCAAGAUUUUGAAGAUGAAGAGGUGUAGAUGUUUAAGUUUUUUUAAUAGGAUAUACAUUUUGAAGAUGUUAGUUUGAUGGUGAAUGAUUCACAUUAGGAUAUUCAUUUAAUAUGUUAGUUUGAUUGUGAAUGAUUGACAAUAUUUAGGACAACUUUAUGUUGAUCGAUGUUAUUUUGAUACUGUAUAAUAGAAAGAUAAUCAUUUUAGUUUAAUAA
Long non-coding RNA from Trifolium pratense (red clover), 1093 nucleotides. RefSeq lists it as uncharacterized. The transcript has 2 exons. The record is from RefSeq and is a predicted model, not a curated record. NCBI's taxonomy places the organism in Eukaryota, Viridiplantae, Streptophyta, Magnoliopsida, Fabales, Fabaceae.